CCUGGUUGAUCUUGCCAGUAGUCAUAUGCUUGUCUCAAAGAUUAAGACAUGCAUGUGCAAGUAUGAACUAAUUCAAACUGUGAAACUGCGAAUGGCUCAUUAAAUCAGUUAUAGUUUGUUUGAUGGUACCUGCUACUCGGAUAACCGUGGUAAUUCUAGAGCUAAUACGUGCAACAUUCCCCGACUUCUGGAAGAGAUGCAUUUAUUAGAUAAAAGGUCAACGCGGGCUCGCCCCGUCGUUCUGAUGAUUCAUGAUAACUCGAUGGAUCGCACGACCCUCAUGCCGGCGACGCAUUAUUCAAAUUUCUGCCCUAUCAACUUUCGAUCUUAGGAUAGGGGCCUACCAUGGUGGUGACGGGUGACGGAGAAUUAGGGUUCGAUUCUGGAGAGGGAGCCUGAGAAACGGCUACCCCAUCCAAGGAAGGCAGCAGGCGCGCAAAUUAACCAAUCCUGACACGGGGAGGUAGUGACAAUAAAUAACAAUACCGGGCCUUUCGGGUCGGGUAAUUGGAAUGGUACAAUCUAAAUCCCUUAAGGAGGAUCCAUUAGAGGGCAAGUAUGGUACCAACAGCCGCGGUAAUUCCAGCUCCAAUAGCGUAUAUUUAAGUUGUUGCAGUUGAAAAGCUCGUAGUCGGACCUUGGGCCGGGCCGCUCGGCGAUGCACUCCUGGCCUUAACUGGCCGGGUCGUGCCUCCGGCGCCGUUACUUUGAAGAAAUUAGAGUGCUCAAAGCAAGCCCACGCUCUGGAUACAUUAGCAUGAGAUAACAUCAUAGGAUUCUGGUCCUAUUGUGUUGGCCUUCGGGAUCGGAGUAAUGAUUAAGAGGGACAGUCGGGGGCAUUCGUAUUUCAUAGUCAGAGGUAAAAUUCUUAUAUUUAUGAAAGACGAACCACUACGAAAGCAUUUGCCAAGGAUGUUUUAAUUGAUCAAGAACGAAAGUUGGGGGAUCGAAGACGAUCACAUACCGUCCUAGUCUCAACCAUAAACGAUGCCUACCAGGGAUCGGCAGAUGUUGCUUUUAGGACUCCGCCGGCACCUUAUGAGAAAUCAAAUUCUUUGGGUUCCGGGGGGAGUAUGGUCGCAAGGCUGAAACAUAAAGGAAUUGACGGAAGGGCACCACCAGGAGUUGAGCCUGCGGCAUAAUUUGAGUUAACAUGGGGAAACUUACCAGGUCCAGACAUAGCAAGGAUUGACAGACUGAUAGCUCUUUCUUGAUUCUAUGGGUGGUAGUGCAUGGCCAUUCUUAGUUGGUGGAGCGAUUUGUCUGGUUAAUUCCGAUAACGAACAAGACCUCAGCCUGCUAACUAGCUAUGCGGAGGAAUCCCUCCGCGGGCAGCUUCUUAAAGGGACUUUGGCCGUUUAGGCCACGGAAGUUUGAGGCAAUAACAGGUCUGUGAUGCCCUUAGAUGUUAUGGGCCGCACGCACGCUACACUGAUGUAUUCAACAAGUCUAUAGCCUUGGCCGAGAGGACCGGGUAAUCUAGUUAAAUUUCAUCGUGAUGGGGAUAGAUCAUUGCAAUUGUUGGUCUUCAACGAGGAAUUCUUAGUAAGCACGAGUUAUCAGCUCGCGUUGACUACGUCCCUGCCUUUUGUACACACCGCCCAUCGCUCCUACCGAUUGAAUGGUCUGGUGAAGUGUUCGGAUCCCGGCGACGGGGACGGUCUCGCCGCCCGUGACGUCCCAAGAAGUCCACUGACCCUUAUCAUUUAGAGGAAGGAGAAGUCGUAUCAAGGUUUCCGUAGGUGAACUUGCGAAAG
This 1757-nucleotide ribosomal RNA is filed under the name Dioscorea alata (purple yam). Its description in RNAcentral is "SSU rRNA". It matches the Rfam family "Eukaryotic small subunit ribosomal RNA". Lineage: Eukaryota; Viridiplantae; Streptophyta; Magnoliopsida; Dioscoreales; Dioscoreaceae. The record is from RNAcentral.